AUGCAUAGGGCCUCCAAAGCACCCUGGAGUUGGGGGAAGUGCUGCAGAAUGGGAGCAGCCUGUGGUUCAAAGUCAAAAGCCCCUCCUGUUCCUCCCACCGGGACAGGGACCAGCACCUUUGCCUCUCACCAGAAGCCUCCCAAGGACCCACGGGGGCAGAGGUCAGGAGGCCUGCUGACCUUGGACACCAGGCUGAGAGGGUGGCAGCGAGCCACCACCAAGCACAUCGCGAGAGCUGCAGCAAACACUCAGGGCGCUCCUGCAGUUCUAACAGGUACCUCCUCUCCCAAGCCUCUGUUGUUUACCUGUAAAAUGGGGACAUCAUAACUGACCUGCCCACCGCACAGGGGUUGUGUCCUCUGGCCCCUGUGUGUCUGUUCACCCGCCCUGCACUGAGCAGCCUGAGGACAGGCACCUGACCCUCUCUUGAUCCCCACACUUGUCCCAAACAGGGCCUACCUUGGGUGUGUGAACCCAGAGGGGCUGCAGCCCAGUUGGACAUCCCCAGGGGCGUAGGGAUGCAGAAGGCAAGGUUCUGGGCAGCUCCUGCUGGGUCCACCCCAAAUCCUGCUGCACCCUCCUCCUCACAGUUUUCAGUUCUGGGUCUCCUUUCUAAUUUAAUGGUGCAAAAAAAAAAAAAAAAGCAGAAGAAAGGGAAAGAAGAGAGGGAAGAGGGGGGUGGGGAGGGAGUGAGGAAGGACUACAACCAGCUGAAGCGUCCCUCCUGCUGGCCACCCUUUGAUAUUUGAGGGCGGGACAAUGAGACUGAUUGGUAGGAAAUUUGAAGCCCUCAUAAUUAGAAGGAAAGAAUGUCCUUGUGGUUGGCUCCUCUAAAAAUACAGCUGUGCCCACAUCUGGAGGAGAUGGGUGGGAGGUGGGGGGGUAUGUGGGGGGGGUGGGGGGAUUGAGGGGGGUUGGUCAGGCCAGAGUCUGAAGCACUGAAUCCUGGGUUCCUUGGGGAGGAGAGGACCCCUCCCAGCAGAGCCCAGGGCAGAAGGAGACGGGAGGGCACCAAAGGGGCCAGUCCCCUGUGGCUGGGCCACCUGCCACAGGGUGGGGACGUGGGAGCUGAAUAGGCAGUCCACCCCUUCCUGGGUCCACACUCACCCCUUCAUGGAGCCCUCCCACCUCCGCUGCCCAGAGGGGACAAGCAGGGGCCUGGCUGGCGGGUGCGCUGCCUUAUCAGCCCCUACCUGACCUGGCCACACCAGGCCCCCUGGCCACAGGCUUCUGAAGACAGAGGGAUUUCCUUCUGGAUUUUAUGAUGUUGGGUGGUAUUUGUCAGCUUUUAUGAAUGUAGUGUUUGUUUUGAGUUCUCUAAGUAAAU
RNAcentral lists this long non-coding RNA (1327 nucleotides) under Canis lupus dingo (dingo). RNAcentral describes it as "lncRNA (ENSCAFG00020007533.1)". Lineage: Eukaryota; Metazoa; Chordata; Mammalia; Carnivora; Canidae. The record is from RNAcentral.